AGCUUGGUGCAGUGGCAGUAUCAUAGCCAAUGAGGUUUAUCUGAAGCACGAUUAUUACUAAUUGAAAACAGAAUGUGUAUAAAUAACAAGUCAGUUAUUACUCCAGGAAGAUCUCCCAAGAA
This 122-nucleotide small nuclear RNA is filed under the name Piliocolobus tephrosceles (Ugandan red Colobus). RNAcentral describes it as "U4 spliceosomal RNA (ENSPTEG00000030455.1)". It matches the Rfam family "U4 spliceosomal RNA". Rfam says of the family: U4 small nuclear RNA (U4 snRNA) is a component of the major U2-dependent spliceosome. Lineage: Eukaryota; Metazoa; Chordata; Mammalia; Primates; Cercopithecidae. The record is from Rfam by way of RNAcentral.